RNAcentral lists this transfer RNA (63 nucleotides) under Chlorophorus simillimus. RNAcentral describes it as "tRNA-Thr". It matches the Rfam family "tRNA". Rfam says of the family: Transfer RNA (tRNA) molecules are approximately 80 nucleotides in length. RNAcentral also lists the same sequence under 1 other name. The record is from RNAcentral. Lineage: Eukaryota; Metazoa; Arthropoda; Insecta; Coleoptera; Cerambycidae.
GUUUUUAUAAUUUAAAUAAAAUAUUGGUCUUGUAAACCAAAAAUAAGGUAAUCUUUAAAAACA